AGUGAACGCUGGCGGUAGGCCUAACACAUGUCAGUCGAACGGAAGCACAGUAAGAGCUUGCUCUUACGGGUGGCGAGUGGCGCCUGGCUGAGGAAUACAUCGGACUCUACCUUUUCGUGGGGGAUAACGUAGGGAAACUUACGCUACUACCGCAUACGACCUACGGGUGCAUGCAGGGGAUCUUCGGACCUUGCGCGAUUGAAUGAGCCGAUGUCGGAUUAGCUAGUUGGCGGGGUAAAGGCCCACCAAGGCGACGAUCCGUAGCUGGUCUGAGAGGAUGAUCAGCCACACUGGAACUGAGACACGGUCCAGACUCCUACGGAAGGCAGCAGUGUGGAAUAUGGGACAAUGGGCGCGAGCCUGAUCCAGCCAUACCGCGGAGGUAAAGAAGGCGUGCGGGUUGUAAAGCCCUUAUGUUGGGAAAGAAAAGCAGCAGGUUAAUACCCCGCUGUUCUGACGGUACCCAAAGAAUAAGCACCGGCUGACUUCGUG
This 492-nucleotide ribosomal RNA is filed under the name uncultured bacterium. Its description in RNAcentral is "partial 16S ribosomal RNA". It matches the Rfam family "Bacterial small subunit ribosomal RNA", at positions 29 to 507 of the family's 1533-position model. The record is from RNAcentral.